UACGGAGGGUGCUAGCGUUGUUCGGAAUUACUGGGCGUAAAGGGCGCGUAGGCGGCCGUUUGCGUCGGAUGUGAAAGCCCGGGGCUCAACCUCGGAACGGCAUUCGAUACGGGACGGCUGGAGACCGGGAGAGGAGAGUGGAAUAGCCAGUGUAGAGGUGAAAUUCGUAGAUAUUGGCUGGAACACCGGUGGCGAAAGCGGCUCUCUGGCCCGGUUCUGACGCUGAGGCGUGAAAGCGUGGGGAGCAAACAGG
RNAcentral lists this ribosomal RNA (253 nucleotides) under uncultured bacterium. RNAcentral's name for it is "partial 16S ribosomal RNA". It matches the Rfam family "Bacterial small subunit ribosomal RNA", at positions 524 to 776 of the family's 1533-position model. The record is from RNAcentral.